GUCUAUAGCAAUUAAGAAGAUUUUGUAUGCUGAUGAUCCAGAUGAAUCAGCACUGGAUGAAGCUCAGGGUUACCUUGAUCAAACUAUCAAUGCUGCAAAAGCCGAAGCAGAAAUUGAAGACUGACUCUAAAAAGUAGCUCCUAACUCGGAUGUGCAAGAUACAUGUGAGGCUAUCUGUUAAACAAAGUUGGUGCUGUGCCAAUAGAGUGACAUGACAUUUAAUGAAAGAGUUGUUGUAUGGUAUGUUUGUGUUGUUGUAAACCAGGAUUAUCAAAGUAGAAACUGGUCUUUCCAAUUAAGAGUGCAUUUCAUCAUCUUUUUUAUCUGUAUGAAAAUAACUUAUCUAAUGAACUUUGCUACCAAGUUUUCUGAAUUUUUUUCUGAUAAUUUUAAUUCAAAAUGACUCGUGAGUUUCCAUGAUACAAUAUAAAACACACCCCACUAUUUGUGUAAGGGAUGGUAUUAGAGGAAAAAGUGAAGAAAUAUGAGUGUUGUAAAAUUGGUGACUAUGAGAAUGAUAAAGAUUUUUACAAUUAGUCUUAUGUCUUGUGCAAUGGAUACUUCAAACUUUCUUGCAGGCUAUUUCAUGAUGGAUCACAAAUACUCCAUUUAUAUUCAAUUCAUUAAUACAGAAACUGUGUUGCAUCCAUUGAUGUAUAUAUGUGUGUGUAUGUCACAUUCCUCUUCCAUCAUGUCAUUAACAUGAGAGCUAUUAUGAAAAAAGCAACAAGAGUGCAUCAAUUUGAUUUGAGUAGCACCUCUACUUUUGCCAGCACUAGUAAGACUACAUCUGCCAAAGGUAGCAGCACUUGCAGGUAGACCAAUCGAAUAAAUUAAUAAAGCAAAUUCAAUGAAGCAACAACCAGUACCAAAGAGAAGCGGCCAUAAACUGGAUAGUUAAUUCUUUGCCAGACUCCAGAAUUGGAAGACACCCCUGUAAGAAUUCUAAUAAAGGCUUGCAUUGAAGUUUAGUUAUCUCUGUUCCCAAACGAAUUGAGGUCCUUUUCUUUUUCAGUAUGUUUGUCAUCAUGAUUACCUCUUGUGCUAUAUAUAUGUAUAUAUUCCAUCUUCUAGUCUCAUGAAUUCUCCAAUUAGUUUUCUUUUAAUCAGAAUAUCCUAAUACUUUGUGAUUGACUGGAGCUGGGAACAAUAAAUAAACAUACAGAAGUUUUGGCGCUAAAAAAAUAUGGUUUUAUCGUUGGCAUGUUUACCGUUCGGAAGUUUUUAUAUAGUAGAUGGGUUUGUUUGAGUGGUUGAAAUGGGAUAUGGUUGUCCUUGACCUUAAGUUUUAUAUUAAAUAAAUUUGGUCCUUUGAAGGGGUUGCAGCUUUUAUAGUAACUUUUAUUUUCAUCCUCUAUAUUUGCCUACUCAGUUUUUUUCUGCUUCUAUUUAAGUAUCACUAGGAUUGCAACCCACAUUACCUUUCUCAUGCUGUAUGUGAUUGUUUUGGCAUGAUAGAGCCGGGUGAUGGUGUUUUAUCAUAGUGUCUGAAACUGCUUACCAUCACAUUUACAAAUCAUCCAUUCCUAAACCCCGGUUAUACCUCGGAUCGGCGUAAAUCCCAUAGUAUUUAACCUCAGUGGUUGCUUAAGUUAGGUGAAUAUUUUUUUCUAAACCGAAAUAAAUAAAUGCAAGUGACUGAUACAUGUUCUAUUUCUAAAUGCAGGCGUCUAUAGCAAUUAAGAAGAUUUUGUAUGCUGAUGAUCCAGAUGAAUCAGCACUGGAUGAAGCUCAGGGUUACCUUGAUCAAACUAUCAAUGCUGCAAAAGCCGAAGCAGAAAUUGAAGACUGACUCUAAAAAGUAGCUCCUAACUCGGAUGUGCAAGAUACAUGUGAGGCUAUCUGUUAAACAAAGUUGGUGCUGUGCCAAUAGAGUGACAUGACAUUUAAUGAAAGAGUUGUUGUAUGGUAUGUUUGUGUUGUUGUAAACCAGGAUUAUCAAAGUAGAAACUGGUCUUUCCAAUUAAGAGUGCAUUUCAUCAUCUUUUUUAUCUGUAUGAAAAUAACUUAUCUAAUGAACUUUGCUACCAAGUUUUCUGAAUUUUUUUCUGAUAAUUUUAAUUCAAAAUGACUCGUGAGUUUCCAUGAUACAAUAUAAAACACACCCCACUAUUUGU
This 2117-nucleotide long non-coding RNA is filed under the name Lupinus angustifolius (narrow-leaved blue lupine). RNAcentral's name for it is "long non-coding RNA (LANG_LNC000113)". The record is from RNAcentral. Lineage: Eukaryota; Viridiplantae; Streptophyta; Magnoliopsida; Fabales; Fabaceae.